ACCCUGGGAUAGUUCCAGAAGUUACUGGUCUAUAAGGACUUUCAGUGUUAUCCUUUUAUUUUUUAAAUGCAACCUUGCCUACUUUUCUAUUUUACUUCACUGAACUUUAGUAGACUUGGGAGAGUUACUAAACUGACACCACAAUUCAGUAUUAGGUCGUGACUGUGAUAUUCUGUCUAAUCUAUCAGAGGAGAUGGAUUUAUAAUUUUACUGUUAAAAUAAAUUUAGAUGGCUAAGUUGUGUGCUAUGAAGUAGAUUCCUAUUUAAUCACACUGGAUGUUUGGAACAUUAAUUUUAUAACUCAGAAUCAUAAGUAUUAU
This 320-nucleotide long non-coding RNA is filed under the name Bos taurus (domestic cattle). RNAcentral describes it as "long non-coding RNA NONBTAT007243". Lineage: Eukaryota; Metazoa; Chordata; Mammalia; Artiodactyla; Bovidae. The record is from RNAcentral.